This 669-nucleotide ribosomal RNA is filed under the name Nothobranchius ocellatus. RNAcentral describes it as "partial 16S ribosomal RNA". The stretch from base 254 to 669 matches the Rfam family "Bacterial large subunit ribosomal RNA", at positions 568 to 1141 of the family's 2925-position model. The record is from RNAcentral. Lineage: Eukaryota; Metazoa; Chordata; Actinopteri; Cyprinodontiformes; Nothobranchiidae.
AUAGCUAAAUUAGAAAAGCAUUUCACUUACACCGAAAAGUUAUCCGCGCAAAUCGGAUUACUCUGACACUCAAAAGCUAGCAUAAAAUUAAUAUUCAACACAUAAACCUUAAUUCAUAUUAACACACUAAAAAAUAUAAUUAAACCAUUCUCCAAAUCUUAGUAUAGGUGAUAGAAAAGGAAAAUUUAGCUAUAGAUUAAGUACCGCAAGGGAAUGCUGAAAGAGAAAUGAAACAACACAGUAAAGUAAAGUAAAGCAGAGAUUAGAACUCGUACCUUUUGCAUCAUGAUUUAGCAAGAAUUAAUAAGCAAAAUGUUUUCUAGUUUUUAACCCCGAAACUAAGUGAGCUACUCCAAGACAGCCUAAGUAAUAGGGCAAACACGUCUCUGUAGCAAAAGAGUGUGAAGAUCUUUGAGUAGAGGUGACAGACCUACCGAACUUAGUCAUAGCUGGUUGUCUGAGAAUUAAAUAUAAGUUUAGCCUUUUAUUUUUUUAAAUUUAAUUCUGAUUAAUCAUAAGAACAAUAAAAGAAUAUAAAAGAGUUAUUCAUAAGGGGUUCAGCCCUUAUGAAAAAGGAUACAACCUUAAUAGGCGACUAAUGAACAUAUCUUUUAAAGUUAAUGUUUUAGUGGACUUAAAAGCAGCCACCUAAGAAAAAAGCGUUAAAGC